Molecule: long non-coding RNA, 4414 nt
Filed under: Marmota monax (woodchuck)
Lineage: Eukaryota; Metazoa; Chordata; Mammalia; Rodentia; Sciuridae
Source: RNAcentral
CUGAGGCAGGGGGUGAAAGGCCUAGCGAUCAGUGUAGUGAAUGAAUGAUGGGGUUUGAGAAGAUGAAACCUGGUUAUCAAAGAAAAGAUAAUGGGUUGCUAACAUAACCUCCAAUCACACUUUCCAGCUCAAGGGGUUGCUAACACCUCUGAGGAAUCAUACUUCCCCAAACAAGCUAUUACCCCUGAGCUGCUCCUUCCUGCCCUUAGGUACAAACUCUGAGAAGAAAGAGAAGAUGGGAUGGGUGGUAUAAAAGAGCAAGACACACCCUCUCCGUAGGGGAACCCAGCUCUGGGUCCCACUUCUUUCCAGAGAAGUCUGUCUCUGUCCUUUCUUAAACUUGCUUUCUAUGCUUACCUCUACACUGGGGAAAAGAGGACCUGUCCCUGAUCUCCAAGACCUAUAUCAGCUUGAGCAGAGUCCAAGCAGGGAGCCUGUGUCAGGACUGGAAUUUUCUACCUGCUGAUCAAGGAACUAAACUGGAGUCCUGAAGCACAGCUGAGGGGGAUAGAAUUGUCUCCUGCUCCAUACCUUUUCCAUUUUUCCUGCCCCCUUGGUUUUCACCUGCAUCCUUUUGCCUGUUACCUUUGUUCACUUCUCAUUUUUAGCAGUCAAGGGUCUGGAAAGACCACCAAGGGUGUGAGUUUGUAUGUAAGCUUCAUGGCAUUUGCAAGUCCUGCUGUCUCUUAGAAGAUUCUGUUUUCUUCCCUUAGAUUAGGGGAAUUCAGGGAGGGGGAAAGGUCUUCUAAAGGUUAUAGAUACCAACAUAUGAAUCCGGAAGACCCUGACCUUUGUGCUCUGCAUGGCCCAAGCAACCUGUUGGGUCAAAGCCCCCUGGGUCGGGCAGAAACCAGCACCGUGCGUGGUCACAGGCAGGCUGGACGGAAUACUGCUGGAACCUUGCUGAAGGACAGCCAGGCAGGAAGUAGGAUUCUGCUUUAUUGAAUUUUGUCAUUUAUCUUUUCAUUAACUCUGCUUUAAAAAUGUUGCAUGAAGAUAUUAUUUAAUUAUUAGUCUUUUAACAUGCCUUUAAAUGUUGCUCCUAGCCACUCCCUGACCUCCUCUCCUAGGGCUUUGGGUCCCCUGGGUCCCCUGCGGCUAUGGAAUUGUGGCUGAUAGCAGAAACUCCCUUUCCCACUGCCACUUCCACCCCAUUUACCGGUGCCAGGCGGCGAUGGAGGGGAGGUUUCCGGGGACUGCCCAGCUUGGGCUGCGCAGGCCCAGAGACCCGCAACGGGGUGGGUCCCGGCCAGCGCGCCCUGCAGUGUGACCUGACGCCCUCUAGCGGGCACUUGGACGCAGCCUGGAAGCCACCCACCCGGUGGGUGGGGGUUUGUGGGAGUGGCCACCCGACACCAGGUGGGAGGGCUUCUAAGGCCUGGGGAUGAGCCAAUGCUGUGGUCGUGUCGUGUCCAUUCCCCGCGUAUUCCCCUUCAACCUCCCCUCCUGUGGACGCGCUGGGCCAACCCGGCCAGCAGGCAGACGAUUCCAGAGAAGAGGAUAGAAAGGGAGAAGGUGGAAUCUGUGAAGCCCACUCGGAGAGUUUGGAAGGGAAGACACACUCAUUUUACUUAAAUCUUCGACUCCAGACACGCUGAGGGGGCUGGAGGGGGCCCCCUGCCUCAUCCCACCCUAACCAUGUUUGUGAAAUGUAACCCUUCAUUGGCUUGCCUCCAUCCUUCUAUUUACCCAGUCUCAAUUCAUGCUUGGUGGUCCUGCCCAAUACAGUCUUCUUCCUGGGUUAUGGAGAGAGGGUGUGGACAGUCAGGACCCUUUCCCCUCUCCUGGAAAUGUCUGGCAGAAGAGACCACAGGGAGGGGCAUAGGACAGUAGGCUGAGCAGCAGGGGGUUCUGGGAUGUACUGGCCCUAAAGUUCACUGUGUUGGGGCUGAGACCCAGGGCUGAUGCCUUGCUAGGAGCAUCUCCAUCUGGUGCCCAGGCCAUCUGAGAGCUGAAGGGGUGAUGUAGCAAAGAGAGAAGCUGGAGAGAGAGCUUGCUCCUCACAGUCGUCAGUGGCAGGAGGACAGAGGAGAAUCUGACAAUAGAAGUGACACUGAGGGGUGUGCAUGGGACUGAAAUAGAAUAGAACCUGCAAGAAGGGAGGUUUCUCACCCUUAGUGGGGGGGGGGGCAGAGAGUGUGUGUCCAGAUAAGCACUCCUGUCUCAUUCCAUGCUUCAUGCUGCUCUGUGGUGCUGUCUCCCUAAGAACUCCUUCAACGGCAAGUAACUGAAUUGUGAAUUUUACCUAAUAAGAAUUCAGGUCACUGGUUGCAGGGUUGGUGCUGUGGUUCAAUGUGGACAUCAAGUAGUCAAGUUCUGUCUAUGCUUCUGCUUUUCCAUCUUUAGGGUGUUAGUGAAGACUCUUCUCAUGGUCACACAAUGACUGCUGCAUCUCCCGACUUAGCAUUCUCAUAGGGAAAAAAAACACCCCACAGUCUGCCACAAAAGGUUUUGGUGCACACAGGAACAGAUUGAAAACACCAGCUUUCACAGCUUGGCAAUGAAUAAAGACAACAUUAAUAAUGACUGCCAUAUUCUGCCUCUAAACUGAUGGGAGUAGUGUUUUGCAUGCAUUAUUUUCUUUACUUCUCACAAUCUGCGCCAUUUCACAAUGACAACCGAGGUUCAGAGUGGUCAAGUAACUCAUUUUACUUUAUAGUCAGGAAAUGAAGGAGCUGGAAUUCAAACUCCAGUCUGUGUGACUCCAGGUCUGGCUUUUUGUUUGUCUUCUCAAAAAUCAAAGUGUGCAAUUUGCGAUAAGAGUUUAAAAUAGUACUGACCUUGGCCUUUUGUUUUUAAACAUUGUGCAUGUUCAAGAUAAGAAUUUCAAAUAGCAUGAAGUUUAAAGUGAAGAUCUGGCCAUCUCUCUCCUUUAAAAUUCCCACAGUCCUCCUCUGGCAGAUAAUUUCUAUAGGUCCUUCAGCAAACUCUUUUUGUAACCUGCUCAGACCACAAAUAUUUUUAUGUAACCAAGAUUCCACUUAGUUACUGUGCUGCACUUAUGUUUUAAAUUAAUAUACCUUGAAGAUAAUGUUAUAUGUAGAUUCUCUCUCUUUCUUUCUAAUGGGUAGUCCUCUUCUGCUGGACUCUCUCUCUAUAUAUUUUCAAAAUUAAUACUUUGAAAACCAGAUGUAGAUUAAUGAAAUAUUGAGCAGAUAGUAGAGAGAAUACUCAUAUACUUUCUCAUUCUCACCCUGAUUUUUUUAUUAAUAAUCUUGGUAUAUGUGGUACAUUUGCUGCAAUUAAUGAGCCAAUAUUGUUUUGAUAAAUCCAUCAUGUCUUCUAUGUAUUAUGGUAUAAUACAGAAUAGUUUCACCACACUAAAAAUUCCCUGUGUUCCAUCUCUUCAUCCCUCCUGUCUUCUCCUAACUUCUUGGCAACCUCUGAUCUUUUUUUUUUUUUUUCACUCACUCUAUAGUUCUGCUUUUCCCCAGAAAGUCAUAUAGUUGAAAUCAUGGAGCAUGAAGCCUUUUCAGACUGGUUUCUUUCAUCUAGCAAUAUGGAUUUAAGCUCCCUCUGUGUCUUUUCCUGUCUUGAUAGCUCCUGUCUUUUUAUUGAAUACUAUUCGAUUGUAUGGAUGCACCAGAGUUUAUCUGUUAAGACGCUGAAGAGCAUCUUGGUUCCUUCUGGAUUCGGGAUAUUAUGAAUAAAGCUGCUAUGAACAUUUGUGUGUAGGUUUUCUUAUGGACUUAAGUUUAGCUCAGUUGGGUAAAUAUCUAGGAGUACAAUGCUAGAUUGUAUGGUAAGACUAGGUUUAAGCUUGUAAGAGACUGCCAAAACUCAAAGCUGUCUCUUAAAGUAGCUGCACAAUCUUACAUUUCCACUAGCAACGAAUGAAAGUUUUUAUUUAACACAUUUUGGGGCUAUUAAAAAAACCAUGGAAAAAGAAAUAUAUGUAUGUAUAUUUUUAUGUAUAUGCAUGGGGAAUAUUUGUAGGAUACUUUUUUCUUCAGGUGAUAUGUGUAAAAUGUCUAUGAUAUUAGCAAAUUACUUCCAAAGAUGAUUGUGCCAACAAUAAAUGAAAGUAUUUAUCUUCUUACACCCACACAAACAUUUGAAUAUUAGAAAAUUUAAAUAUUUUGGCUAAUUUGAUAAAUAAAAUAACGAUAUCUUCUUAGCUAUUUUUAUUUCCAAUGCCUUCACUCUGAGUUAUAUGGUGUAGAAUUUCUGUUAAGAAUCCCUCCUCUGGUUACUCUCAAACUAUGCAGUAUGGUUUGGAUCUUGAAUGUUCUUCAAAUGCUCAAGUGUUGAAGGCUUGUAUAUAGGUUUAUGGAAUUAUUGGGAGGAAGAGGUGGAGCCUAUGGGAAGAAGUUAGGUCAUGGGGGCAUGUAUUUAAAGGGGAUUAUUAGAAAACUGGUCUCUCAUUUUUACCUCUUUUCUUCUAAGCUGCCAUGAGUUGAACAGGCUUCCUCUG